RNAcentral lists this ribosomal RNA (374 nucleotides) under Salmonella enterica. Its description in RNAcentral is "partial 16S ribosomal RNA". It matches the Rfam family "Bacterial small subunit ribosomal RNA", at positions 884 to 1258 of the family's 1533-position model. RNAcentral also lists the same sequence under 1 other name. Lineage: Bacteria; Pseudomonadati; Pseudomonadota; Gammaproteobacteria; Enterobacterales; Enterobacteriaceae. The record is from RNAcentral.
GGCCGCAAGGUUAAAACUCAAAUGAAUUGACGGGGGCCCGCACAAGCGGUGGAGCAUGUGGUUUAAUUCGAUGCAACGCGAAGAACCUUACCUGGUCUUGACAUCCACAGAACUUUCCAGAGAUGGACUGGUGCCUUCGGGAACUGUGAGACAGGUGCUGCAUGGCUGUCGUCAGCUCGUGUUGUGAAAUGUUGGGUUAAGUCCCGCAACGAGCGCAACCCUUAUCCUUUGUUGCCAGCGGUUAGGCCGGGAACUCAAAGGAGACUGCCAGUGAUAAACUGGAGGAAGGUGGGGAUGACGUCAAGUCAUCAUGGCCCUUACGACCAGGGCUACACACGUGCUACAAUGGCGCAUACAAAGAGAAGCGACCUCGC